CCAGACUCCUACGGGAGGCAGCAGUGAGGAAUAUUGGUCAAUGGGCGCGAGCCUGAACCAGCCAAGUCGCGUGAGGGAUGAAGGAUCUAUGGUUCGUAAACCUCUUUUAUAAGGGAAUAAAGUGCGGGACGCGUCCCGCUUCGCAUGUACCUUAUGAAUAAGGAUCGGCUAACUCCGUGCCAGCAGCCGCGGUAAUACGGAGGGUGCAAGCGUUGUCCGGAAUCAUUGGGCGUAAAGAGUUCGUAGGCGGCACGUAAAGUCUGGUGUUAAAGGCAGAGGCUCAACUUCUGUACGGCACUGGAUACUUGCGAGCUAGAAUGCGGUAGAGGUAAAGGGAAUUCCUGGUGUAGCGGUGAAAUGCUUAGAUAUCACGCAGAACUCCGAUUGCGAAGGCAGCGCACCGGCGCCCUACUGACGCUCAGGCACGAAAGCGUGGGUAUCGAACAGGAUUAGAUACCCCAGUA
This 464-nucleotide ribosomal RNA is filed under the name uncultured bacterium. RNAcentral describes it as "bacterial SSU rRNA". It matches the Rfam family "Bacterial small subunit ribosomal RNA", at positions 331 to 792 of the family's 1533-position model. The record is from RNAcentral.